RNAcentral lists this ribosomal RNA (253 nucleotides) under uncultured bacterium. RNAcentral describes it as "partial 16S ribosomal RNA". It matches the Rfam family "Bacterial small subunit ribosomal RNA", at positions 524 to 776 of the family's 1533-position model. The record is from RNAcentral.
UACAUAGGGUCCGAGCGUUGUCCGGAAUUACUGGGCGUAAAGAGCUCGUAGGUGGUUUGUCGCGUUGUUCGUGAAAACUCACAGCUCAACUGUGGGCGUGCGGGCGAUACGGGCAGACUAGAGUACUGCAGGGGAGACUGGAAUUCCUGGUGUAGCGGUGGAAUGCGCAGAUAUCAGGAGGAACACCGGUGGCGAAGGCGGGUCUCUGGGCAGUAACUGACGCUGAGGAGCGAAAGCGUGGGGAGCGAACAGG